AGAGUUUGAUCCUGGCUCACAUUGAACGCUGGCGGCAGGCCUAACACAUGCAAGUCGAGCGGUAGCACAGAGAGCUUGCUCUCGGGUGACGAGCGGCGGACGGGUGAGUAAUGUCUGGGAAACUGCCUGAUGGAGGGGGAUAACUACUGGAAACGGUAGCUAAUACCGCAUAACGUCGCAAGACCAAAGUGGGGGACCUUCGGGCCUCAUGCCAUCAGAUGUGCCCAGAUGGGAUUAGCUAGUAGGUGGGGUAACGGCUCACCUAGGCGACGAUCCCUAGCUGGUCUGAGAGGAUGACCAGCCACACUGGAACUGAGACACGGUCCAGACUCCUACGGGAGGCAGCAGUGGGGAAUAUUGCACAAUGGGCGCAAGCCUGAUGCAGCCAUGCCGCGUGUGUGAAGAAGGCCUUCGGGUUGUAAAGCACUUUCAGCGGGGAGGAAGGCGGUGAGGUUAAUAACCUCACCGAUUGACGUUACCCGCAGAAGAAGCACCGGCUAACUCCGUGCCAGCAGCCGCGGUAAUACGGAGGGUGCAAGCGUUAAUCGGAAUUACUGGGCGUAAAGCGCACGCAGGCGGUCUGUCAAGUCGGAUGUGAAAUCCCCGGGCUCAACCUGGGAACUGCAUUCGAAACUGGCAGGCUAGAGUCUUGUAGAGGGGGGUAGAAUUCCAGGUGUAGCGGUGAAAUGCGUAGAGAUCUGGAGGAAUACCGGUGGCGAAGGCGGCCCCCUGGACAAAGACUGACGCUCAGGUGCGAAAGCGUGGGGAGCAAACAGGAUUAGAUACCCUGGUAGUCCACGCUGUAAACGAUGUCGAUUUGGAGGUUGUGCCCUUGAGGCGUGGCUUCCGGAGCUAACGCGUUAAAUCGACCGCCUGGGGAGUACGGCCGCAAGGUUAAAACUCAAAUGAAUUGACGGGGGCCCGCACAAGCGGUGGAGCAUGUGGUUUAAUUCGAUGCAACGCGAAGAACCUUACCUGGUCUUGACAUCCACAGAACUUAGCAGAGAUGCUUUGGUGCCUUCGGGAACUGUGAGACAGGUGCUGCAUGGCUGUCGUCAGCUCGUGUUGUGAAAUGUUGGGUUAAGUCCCGCAACGAGCGCAACCCUUAUCCUUUGUUGCCAGCGGUUAGGCCGGGAACUCAAAGGAGACUGCCAGUGAUAAACUGGAGGAAGGUGGGGAUGACGUCAAGUCAUCAUGGCCCUUACGACCAGGGCUACACACGUGCUACAAUGGCAUAUACAAAGAGAAGCGACCUCGCGAGAGCAAGCGGACCUCAUAAAGUAUGUCGUAGUCCGGAUUGGAGUCUGCAACUCGACUCCAUGAAGUCGGAAUCGCUAGUAAUCGUAGAUCAGAAUGCUACGGUGAAUACGUUCCCGGGCCUUGUACACACCGCCCGUCACACCAUGGGAGUGGGUUGCA
Molecule: ribosomal RNA, 1419 nt
Filed under: uncultured bacterium
Lineage: Bacteria
Description: bacterial SSU rRNA
Rfam family: Bacterial small subunit ribosomal RNA
Source: RNAcentral